Molecule: transfer RNA, 74 nt
Filed under: Hordeum vulgare
Lineage: Eukaryota; Viridiplantae; Streptophyta; Magnoliopsida; Poales; Poaceae
Description: tRNA-Asn
Rfam family: tRNA
About the family: Transfer RNA (tRNA) molecules are approximately 80 nucleotides in length.
Source: RNAcentral
GCUGGAAUAGUUCAGUUGGCUAGAGCGUAUGGCUGUUAACCAUAAGGUCGGAGGUUCGAGCCCUCCUUCUAGCG